GCGGGUAUAGUGUAGUGACAACACGUCGGUCUCCAAAACCGAAGAUAUAGGUUUGAUUCCUAUUGCCUGUGCCA
RNAcentral lists this transfer RNA (74 nucleotides) under Veillonella sp. Its description in RNAcentral is "tRNA-Trp". It matches the Rfam family "tRNA". From Rfam's summary of the family: Transfer RNA (tRNA) molecules are approximately 80 nucleotides in length. RNAcentral also lists the same sequence under 1 other name. Lineage: Bacteria; Bacillati; Bacillota; Negativicutes; Veillonellales; Veillonellaceae. The record is from RNAcentral.